UACAUGAUUAGACAUCACAAGCAGACAGCCU
RNAcentral lists this non-coding RNA (31 nucleotides) under Rattus norvegicus (Norway rat). Lineage: Eukaryota; Metazoa; Chordata; Mammalia; Rodentia; Muridae. The record is from RNAcentral.